Molecule: ribosomal RNA, 460 nt
Filed under: uncultured bacterium
Lineage: Bacteria
Description: partial 16S ribosomal RNA
Rfam family: Bacterial small subunit ribosomal RNA
Source: RNAcentral
CCUACGGGAGGCAGCAGUGAGGAAUAUUGGUCAAUGGGCGGAAGCCUGAACCAGCCAAGUAGCGUGAAGGAUGACGGCACUACGGGUUGUAAACUGCUUUUAUACGGGAAUAACGCGCCUUACGUGUAGGGCUUUGCAUAUACAGUAUGAAUAAGGACCGGCUAAUUCCGUGCCAGCAGCCGCGGUAAUACGGAAGGUCCGGGCGUUAUCCGGAUUUAUUGGGUUUAAAGGGAGCGUAGGCCGCAUGUCAAGCGUGCUUUUAAAUGUACGGACUAAACCCGGGCCUUGCAGCGCGAACUGGCGUGCGUGAGUCCGCGGAAAGCAGGCGGAAUUCGUCGUGUAGCGGUGAAAUGCUUAGAUAUGACGAAGAACCCCGAUUGCGAAGGCAGCUUGCUGCAGCGGAACUGACGCUGAUGCUCGAAAGCGCGGGUAUCGAACAGGAUUAGAUACCCCUGUAGUC